UACGAGUGGCCCGAGCGUUAAUCGGAAUCACUGGGCUUAAAGGGUGCGCAGGCGGACCGGAAGGCAUCUUGUGAAAUCCCCCGGCUCAACCGGGGAACAGCGGGGUGAACCAACGGUCUUGAGGCAGGUAGGGGUCAGCGGAACCAUCGGUGGAGCGGUGAAAUGCGUAGAGAUCGAUGGGAACGCCAAUGGCGAAGGCAGCUGACUGGGCCUGUCCUGACGAUCAGGCACGAAAGAGUGGGGAGCAAACAGG
Molecule: ribosomal RNA, 253 nt
Filed under: uncultured bacterium
Lineage: Bacteria
Description: partial 16S ribosomal RNA
Rfam family: Bacterial small subunit ribosomal RNA
Source: RNAcentral